UACGGGGGGGGCAAGCGUUGUUCGGAAUUACUGGGCGUAAAGGGCUCGUAGGCGGCCAACUAAGUCAGACGUGAAAUCCCUCGGCUUAACCGGGGAACUGCGUCUGAUACUGGAUGGCUUGAGUUUGGGAGAGGGAUGCGGAAUUCCGGGUGUAGCGGUGAAAUGCGUAGAUAUCCGGAGGAACACCGGUGGCGAAGGCGGCUUCCUGGACCGACACUGACGCUGAGGCGCGAAAGCUAGGGGAGCAAACGGG
This 253-nucleotide ribosomal RNA is filed under the name uncultured bacterium. Its description in RNAcentral is "partial 16S ribosomal RNA". It matches the Rfam family "Bacterial small subunit ribosomal RNA", at positions 524 to 776 of the family's 1533-position model. The record is from RNAcentral.